Atta colombica is the source of this 318-nucleotide long non-coding RNA. RefSeq lists it as uncharacterized. The transcript is spliced from 3 exons. NCBI's taxonomy places the organism in Eukaryota, Metazoa, Arthropoda, Insecta, Hymenoptera, Formicidae. The record is from RefSeq and is a predicted model, not a curated record.
AGAAAAUUGUAGUUCCAUCUGUUUUUACACAAAAAAUUUUGUGAAAAUGUAAAAAAAGACUUGAUAAUUCCUUAAGAAUUGAUGAAAUCCAACAUGACAAAUGACUCGACAAGCAGCAUUCAAUGUGACGAUCAAAAUAAAUCAAUAAUAAGCCUUUGUAAAUCUACGAUGGCUAUUCAACAUAAUAAUCAAAAUGAAUCAAUGAACAUCCUACACGAAUUUCCAAUGGAUAUUCAAAAUGAAGUUAUAGUUUUUAAUGAACCAACACAUGUCACAAGUCAACAAAGAAAACGGUUUAAAAUUAAUAAAACAGAAAAG